CGAUGGGUGUUGAGCUUGAACGCUUUCUUAAUUGGUGGCUGCUUUUAGGCCUACUAUGGGUAUUAAAUUUUUUACUCUCUUUACAAGGUUUUUUCCUAGUGUCCAAAGAGCUGUUCCUCUUUGGACUAACAGUUAAAUUUACAAGGGGAUUUAGAAGGUUCUGUAGGUAAAUUUAAAGUUGAACUAAGAUUCUAUCUUGGACAACCAGCUAUCACCAGGCUCGAUAGGUUUGUCGCCUCUACCUAUAAAUCUUCCCACUAAUUUCUAUCGCCUAUACUUUAUUUGGGUAAAUGGUUUGGUUAAGGUUA
This 308-nucleotide long non-coding RNA is filed under the name Homo sapiens (human). RNAcentral describes it as "non-protein coding lnc-EPHA6-1:3". The record is from RNAcentral. Lineage: Eukaryota; Metazoa; Chordata; Mammalia; Primates; Hominidae.